This 576-nucleotide ribosomal RNA is filed under the name Enterobacter cloacae. RNAcentral's name for it is "partial 23S ribosomal RNA". It matches the Rfam family "Bacterial large subunit ribosomal RNA", at positions 2261 to 2832 of the family's 2925-position model. The record is from RNAcentral. Lineage: Bacteria; Pseudomonadati; Pseudomonadota; Gammaproteobacteria; Enterobacterales; Enterobacteriaceae.
GUGGGUAGUUUGACUGGGGCGGUCUCCUCCCAAAGAGUAACGGAGGAGCACGAAGGUUAGCUAAUCCUGGUCGGACAUCAGGAGGUUAGUGCAAUGGCAUAAGCUAGCUUGACUGCGAGAGUGACGGCUCGAGCAGGUGCGAAAGCAGGUCAUAGUGAUCCGGUGGUUCUGAAUGGAAGGGCCAUCGCUCAACGGAUAAAAGGUACUCCGGGGAUAACAGGCUGAUACCGCCCAAGAGUUCAUAUCGACGGCGGUGUUUGGCACCUCGAUGUCGGCUCAUCACAUCCUGGGGCUGAAGUAGGUCCCAAGGGUAUGGCUGUUCGCCAUUUAAAGUGGUACGCGAGCUGGGUUUAGAACGUCGUGAGACAGUUCGGUCCCUAUCUGCCGUGGGCGCUGGAGAAUUGAGGGGGGCUGCUCCUAGUACGAGAGGACCGGAGUGGACGCAUCACUGGUGUUCGGGUUGUCAUGCCAAUGGCACUGCCCGGUAGCUAAAUGCGGAAGAGAUAAGUGCUGAAAGCAUCUAAGCACGAAACUUGCCCCGAGAUGAGUUCUCCCUGAGACUUAAAGUCUCCUGAA